Molecule: ribosomal RNA, 484 nt
Filed under: uncultured bacterium
Lineage: Bacteria
Description: partial 16S ribosomal RNA
Rfam family: Bacterial small subunit ribosomal RNA
Source: RNAcentral
AUUGAACGCUGGCGGCAGGCCUAACACAUGCAAGUCGAGCGGAUGAAGGGAGCUUGCUCCUGGAUUCAGCGGCGGACGGGUGAGUAAUGCCUAGGAAUCUGCCUGGUAGUGGGGGAUAACGUCCGGAAACGGGCGCUAAUACCGCAUACGUCCUGAGGGAGAAAGCGGGGGAUCUUCGGACCUCACGCUAUCAGAUGAGCCUAGGUCGGAUUAGCUAGUUGGUGGGGUAAAGGCCUACCAAGGCGACGAUCCGUAACUGGUCUGAGAGGAUGAUCAGUCACACUGGAACUGAGACACGGUCCAGACUCCUACGGGAGGCAGCAGUGGGGAAUAUUGGACAAUGGGCGAAAGCCUGAUCCAGCCAUGCCGCGUGUGUGAAGAAGGUCUUCUGAUUGUAAAGCACUUUAAGUUGGGAGGAAGGGCAGUAAGUUAAUACCUUGCUGUUUUGACGUUACCAACAGAAUAAGCACCGGCUAACUUCGUG